This 694-nucleotide long non-coding RNA is filed under the name Homo sapiens (human). RNAcentral's name for it is "HSALNT0255983". Lineage: Eukaryota; Metazoa; Chordata; Mammalia; Primates; Hominidae. The record is from RNAcentral.
AAUUAGCCGGGCGUGAUGGCUCAUGCCUGUAAUCCCAGCUACUCGGGAGGCUGAGGCAGGAGAAUUGCUUGAAACUGGGAGGCAGAGGUUGCGAUGAGUGGAGAUCGCGCCAUUGCACUCCAGCCUGGGCAACAAGAGCGAAACUCUGUCUCCAAAAAAAACAAAAAACAAAAAAGGCCUGAUAGCACUCACCACUAUUGUUAACUUUCUAUCUUCCCAAUCAGAUUGUGGGCUCCAGUAGGGCAGGGUCCACAUCUUGGUCUUGUUCACCACUAAAUCCUUAGUGCCUAGCACGGAGCCCACCAUAGAGAAUAGACUACAUGAAUUGUAGAGUGAGUGAAUAAUCCUGUUGGCCGUAUGCACUGUUAGGAGGGUGUGUUUGAGAUACAGAUGACACCCAGGGUCUCACAUUCUUGCAGGAGGGAAAGAGACGUCAGCCCUGGGUCCCAGAAGAGGCCACUGACCCAGUGGGAGUUCAGGGAAGGCUUCCCAGAGGAGGUGGAGGUGACAGCUGCAGCUAUAAGGGAAGGAAGAACAGAGCGUUAUGCAGCAUGUGAAGGCUUUGGAGACUUGUGAGGGCACGAACCGGGCUCACUAUCCCAUUAGACAAAAGUGGCUGAGGAAGGAUGAAACUGUGUCUAACUCUGCCUGGUGACCGAAAUCUUGUCCAUGGGUGACGCUUAAGAAGUGACCC